GUCCUCAUAGCUUAAAACAAAGCGUGACACUGAAGAUGUCAAGACGGAUGCCACACACACCUGAGGACA
RNAcentral lists this transfer RNA (69 nucleotides) under Ptilotula penicillata (White-plumed honeyeater). RNAcentral describes it as "tRNA-Phe". It matches the Rfam family "tRNA". Rfam says of the family: Transfer RNA (tRNA) molecules are approximately 80 nucleotides in length. Their secondary structure includes four short double-helical elements and three loops (D, anti-codon, and T loops). Lineage: Eukaryota; Metazoa; Chordata; Aves; Passeriformes; Meliphagidae. The record is from RNAcentral.